Molecule: long non-coding RNA, 779 nt
Filed under: Olea europaea subsp. europaea
Lineage: Eukaryota; Viridiplantae; Streptophyta; Magnoliopsida; Lamiales; Oleaceae
Source: RNAcentral
AUUCCUAUGAUGAACCAGUGCCUAGCUGCCACGAAAUAGGAUAAGAUACGGUUUUAAUUAUUUCUAUAUCUUGAUUCGUUCAAGUGGAGUAUAGCAGAAUACUCUUUAUGGAAAUCACCUAUGUGAGUGAGAAGGGGUUGCUUCUAAGAAAAUUAGGUGAAGAUAAAUUAUCUAAAAACUACUCAUGAACCAGGAGGUGUCCAAGGCCAAAAUGGACACAAACAUGAGAACCAACUGUGUUCGAAGAUAACUGUGUUACUUCUAUUGUUUAGAUUUCCAUGAACGGCUGACUGUUCAAAGCAACUUGCUACUGAUUGGCUAAGGAAAUUCGAAAGAUUUUACUAGGGAAAGUUCAAAGUCAUUGACUACUUAUUCCGAUGCAGUUUUCUUCAAUUUUUAUUUUGAAAAACAUAUUAGAUGUUACUGUUUGGAAAAGACCAACAUAUUUCAUUUAUGUGGGGGAUUGUUGAAAAAAUGGUUAUGAAAUGGAUCAAAUUUGAGCCCAAAUUUCAGUAGGACCCACCUUUUAAUUAAUACAGGACCAAGCAUAUUCACCUUCUACUCCGCGAGAUGAUUAACGUGAUAUAUUUAUUUAUGGAAAACCAUUUAGAAUUGAAUGAAAUAUUAAGUGUUAAAGUAACCCACAUAAAAUUAAGUAUUAUGGAAGAAUUUGAUUUUCCAAACACUUAUCCCACAUAGGAAAGUUAGGAAACUUUGGUGUGGUUUAUAAGGUGGAAGUUUGGAAAUUGGGUUUGGGCCCCAAGGGGUACCAAUAGUCU